This 280-nucleotide ribosomal RNA is filed under the name uncultured Eubacteriales bacterium. Its description in RNAcentral is "uncultured Clostridiales bacterium partial 16S ribosomal RNA". The stretch from base 42 to 280 matches the Rfam family "Bacterial small subunit ribosomal RNA", at positions 100 to 339 of the family's 1533-position model. The record is from RNAcentral. Lineage: Bacteria; Bacillati; Bacillota; Clostridia; Eubacteriales.
UUUGAUUUCCUUCGGGACUGAUUAUUUUGUGACUGAGUGGCGGACGGGUGAGUAACGCGUGGGUGACCUGCCCCAUACCGGGGGAUAACAGCUGAAAACGGCUGCUAAUACCGCAUAAGCGCACAGAGCUGCAUGGCUCGGUGUGAAAAACUCCGGUGGUAUGAGAUGGACCCGCGUCUGAUUAGGUAGUUGGUGGGGUAACGGCCUACCAAGCCGACGAUCAGUAGCCGGUCUGAGAGGACGAACGGCCACAUUGGAACUGAGACACGGUCCAAACUCC